RNAcentral lists this ribosomal RNA (116 nucleotides) under Wildemania schizophylla. Lineage: Eukaryota; Rhodophyta; Bangiophyceae; Bangiales; Bangiaceae. The record is from RNAcentral.
UGGUGCCCAUAGCACAGUGGAACCACACCGAUCCAUCUCGAACUCGGUUGUUAAACACUGUAGCGGCAAUAAUACUUAAGGGGAAGCCCUUUGGAAAAGUAGCACAGUGCCAAAGC